Molecule: long non-coding RNA, 2167 nt
Organism: Mesocricetus auratus (golden hamster)
Lineage: Eukaryota; Metazoa; Chordata; Mammalia; Rodentia; Cricetidae
Exons: 3
Source: RefSeq, a predicted model, not a curated record
GGUCACAGGUGUGUUGCGUACGUGAGCGUGUGGGAUUUGGUCUGGGGUCCGGGACAGGCUUGCUCUCUCUUGGUUCCGGUCGGGUCACAGAGAGCAGCUGGGCAUGGAUCCUCGGAGCUGAAACUGGUGGGUCAUCCAUUUCUCCUGCCACUGUGAUGGAGGCUGCUCUGCCUCUGAAGCCGUGAGCUAAAGCAUGGCUUUCCCCUCAAGGGGUUCCUGUCAGGUGCUUUCAUCACAAGAGGCCUGUGCAAUCCCACCCUGGCUCAGUCUUGUCAUCCGCGUUGCGGACCUAGCGACAGAACUCGAGGGAAACACCGUGAGGACUCUGUGGUGGAAGAGGACCCUCCCAUUUCUGAUCCGGAGACUGGAAACUGGGCUCUGACGGACCUGGAUAAACAGGCCCUCCCUCUGGUAACCACGUCACGUCUUCACCGCCUUUGUGCCCCUCUCCUCAUGCGCCCUUGCUUUUGGUCAGCUCUUCUGAGGUCGCUGUCCUGUGGAGGUUCCCGUGUCCCUGCCAAGGUGAUGAGGCUUCUAUGCUUUGCUUUUGUUUGACUUGGAUUCCGGGUCCUGGCUAAGAGCCACCAGAGAGCUGUGCAGAGGGGGGGGGAAUCUCUUGCCCCUCCCAGCCACAGACCCAAUGGUUCCGCUGAUGCUGACUCCUCAUCUUUUCAGAUGUAGGAAGGUGAUCGGCUUUCACACACACACACAUCUCGAUGCCUGUUUCCUGUGGCUGCCUUAUAAAAUAUACAAGCUGGAGGCUGGACCUGGGACACUGCAGGUAUCACAGUAAUGGACUAGCGUAUGAGAGUUCUAAAGGAGGUGCUAGGGUGUGUGCUCUGCAUUGCCGUGUUCACACGGACACACACACACACGGACACACACACAUGGACACACACACAGAUGCACACACAGAGACAGACAGACACACAUAUAUAGACGCACAGACACACAUAUAUAGAUACACACACACAGACACUUACACUGUACACACACACAGACAUACAUAGACACACAUGGACACACAGAAAUCCAGCAGAAUCCACGAGAAGCUAUUAGAAUGAACACAUGAUUUCAGUGACUAAGAAACCGACAGAUCACGGCGCUGACCUGUCCCCCACCCCUGCCUCCACGCCCUUUAAACCAUCUCUCUCGUGGCCCCUGUUCUAUUUUCAGUGUGUGUUUUACUGUCACACUUCCAGAUGCCUCCUCCCCUCAGUCCUCUCAUGGCGAUUUUCUUCCUCUCUGGGCUCUACUCACAUCCGCUCCAACUUAAACACAACUGUCUAAAAAUUUGAGUCUAGGGCUCUCAUAAGAGAGAGAAAACACACAGAGUUUGUCUUUCUGGGCCUGGCUCACUUUGCUCAAUAUAAUAUCUUCCAGUUUUACUCACUUUUCUGUGGGGCAGGGGAGAGGGUUGACCAAGGCUGUGAAGACGCCUCCUACUUCAUCUGCCGGCUGAAACACGCGCUAUUAAUAAAAAGGAGAUCAGGUAGACAUCCUCUUCACGGGUGGUUAAAGCGGCUGUAAGAAGCCAUUGAUUUUCAUACUAAAACCCCAGGGCCGGGUGUGGAAUGCCUUCCUACAAGGACCUCUCAACAGAAUACAGGCCAUCGUUAUCGCUUGGAUGCUACUAAGCUGAGCUCGCCACACACUGCGAAUGCAGGACAGAGACACCUCAUUAGACCGGAACGCAAGGCUUCCUCCUUAUUGGCUUCUUCAUGGUCUUGGAGGAUGCUACCGACGCUGUCAGGGGAGAAACAUCCUCAGUGACUGCAACAGCUAUAGACUCUGGGUGCCACAACACCGGGCUUCCUGGCAAUAUGGACUACGGGUAACCUGUGGGUAACCAAGUGCUUCCUGACGGGAUGUGAAGCCUGUUCCGUGGGACAGAGUGCACGCAUGGCACUAUAGAACUGGACAACGGCCCAUGGCUAGGGAGGUCACUUGCCUUCUGGGGAAAACCGCCACUGAUAUUUUACCAAAUAGACAGAUAGUUAAACUGCUUUCUAAAUAGUCCCAUAUUUUAGUAUUUCUCUUUUCCCCAGUGGGCAAUGGUCAAAGCCGGGAUGGAUGAUGGGGAAGUCCUGUGUAUAUGUCAAUAAAGCACUGUUGGCCAAUAGGGAAGCAAGAUAGGUGGGACUAGGAGUCCAGGAGGAUUCUGGGU